AGCGUGCGUAGGUGGUUUGUUAAGUCUGAUGUGAAAGCCCUGGGCUCAACCUGGGAAUGGCAUUGGAAACUGGCUUACUAGAGUGCGGUAGAGGGUAGCGGAAUUCCCGGUGUAGCAGUGAAAUGCGUAGAUAUCGGGAGGAACAUCCGUGGCGAAGGCGGCUACCUGGACCAGCACUGACACUGAGGCACGAAAGCGUGGGGAGCAAACAGGAUUAGAUACCCUGGUAGUCCACGCCCUAAACGAUGCGAACUGGAUGUUGGGGGCUACUUGGCCCUCAGUAUCGAAGCUAACGCGUUAAGUUCGCCGCCU
Molecule: ribosomal RNA, 312 nt
Filed under: Lysobacter enzymogenes
Lineage: Bacteria; Pseudomonadati; Pseudomonadota; Gammaproteobacteria; Lysobacterales; Lysobacteraceae
Description: bacterial SSU rRNA
Rfam family: Bacterial small subunit ribosomal RNA
Source: RNAcentral